Molecule: unclassified non-coding RNA, 1536 nt
Filed under: Dermacentor andersoni
Lineage: Eukaryota; Metazoa; Arthropoda; Arachnida; Ixodida; Ixodidae
Description: uncharacterized LOC126525893
Source: RNAcentral
GGUUACUGGUUAUGUUUGGUCACUCUGGACACCAAUACUGGGCGCAAACCGCUCACCUUCACGUCGCCUUUGUGCAGGUCAUGGAAGCGCACUUAGUUGGCAUGCCAGGGUGGCCAGCGCGAAAGGCGGGGCGUCGUUGCCGGAAGCUUACCGGUGGUGUUUCCCAGCGUUUGCGAAAUCCCUUAUGAACGACUUCAUUCGCUAUCCUAAAGCAAACUAGCCUAUCCUGUAGAAGUUAGCUCGUUUCAAGCCUUGGCGUUUGCGGAGUGCGUCUAAUCGAAAAUGACUUAAGCAUCAAAGCUAGGUGAACACUUUUUCGUUUUUGUCCUGUUCGCGCUACAUUAAGAUUUCCCAAUUGCAUACGGGCCACAUAUCUAAGCUGGUCCCAUGUUUUUAUGUUGCUAGUGCUACAUCAUUGUUCCAUGACAACAUACAGACCACAAUCGUCGGCUACCGUAACAUAACGUAGCUGUUGCUUUUCUUAACUUGUUCCACAUUAAUGGACCACAUUAAUCCGCGAAAAUAAAACAUCUUUAACUAUUUUGAAUAUACUAAACUAGACGCUGAGGAAAGACCACUUUCGAAAUGCAGAAAAAAAUACAACGAAUGAAUUAAACGCAACUGAGACCAGGUAUGGGCUUAAUAGUUCAAUAAUAGCACCGCACAUGGUCCCAAUUCAGUAGCACCAAGAUCAUGCAAAUGCAAGCUGUGCCUAUCGAUUCAUGCUGGCUCUGCAGUCACAGGGGCGUCGCAGAAAGACAGCCAGCGCCAAAUUUUUCUCUCGCGUUUUUGCUCUGAAACUUUUCUGUUUACUGCAUACAGUCCACCCACAUGCACAAUGACGUUUCUGUGCAGACUGUACACCAAGCGACGCAGGGAUAAUCAUCGAGCUGUGGCAGUUGUUCCUGUGCAUCGGUUGGGGACUCAUCGCUACUUCUCUGCUGUCAACAUUGAAAGCAUCGGCCGAGCAGGAUGGCGCGGCGAAGCAGUCGCACUAGCGACAUGUCAAGAUUGGAAACGCGCCCAUGAGCUCAUUGACAUUUUAGAGGACACCAACCGGGAGGGUCCGCGUAGGCUCUUCACCAUGAAAUAGAGGAAGUCACUGGGCGGUUUUGGAUGUCCGACUUUGAUGACAGCGUUUCUCGGUAACACCGACGUUGCCCUCCUUGUACGGAUUGUAUACGUCGGUGGAAGCGGGCCCGUCGGUCGCGUGCUUCGAAGGUGCGCAGUCAUUUGCUCGUCAGCGAGGGUUGCAGUCAUCGCCGCAAGAUUGGUGACACCAGUGUGCGGACUGCACAGCGGCGGAGGACCGCUUUUAGAAUUCGCUGCGAGAAUCAUUCACGUGCGGUGCCGUUACGUCCUUGUCAGCGAUGGCUCCAUUCUUCAGAGCCUCCCUCCUGAUAGCAGAAGAAUUUCAGAAGGCUACCAAAUACGGCCGCGACACCUUCGUGGGAAGACCAGGCACCUGGAACUUAUAGGAAAAUUUGACGCGGGUAAUUCGCCGCGAACUUGAAGCGGUGCUUGCGGCCACUCCUC